Molecule: ribosomal RNA, 254 nt
Filed under: uncultured bacterium
Lineage: Bacteria
Description: partial 16S ribosomal RNA
Rfam family: Bacterial small subunit ribosomal RNA
Source: RNAcentral
UACGUAGGGUGCAAGCGUUGUCCGGAAUUAUUGGGCGUAAAGAGCUCGUAGGCGGUGUGUCGCGUCGGCCGUGAAAACUUGGGGCUUAACUCUGAGCGUGCGGUCGAUACGGGCAUCACUUGAGUUCGGCAGGGGAGACUGGAAUUCCUGGUGUAGCGGUGAAAUGCGCAGAUAUCAGGAGGAACACCGGUGGCGAAGGCGGGUCUCUGGGCCGAUACUGACGCUGAGGAGCGAAAGCGUGGGGAGCGAACAGG